GCUCUUGUAGCUCAGUCGGUAGAGCACCGCAUUGGUAGUGCGGAGGUCAGCGGUCCGAUUCCGCUCGGGAGCU
This is a transfer RNA of Treponema saccharophilum DSM 2985, 73 nucleotides long. It matches the Rfam family "tRNA". Rfam says of the family: Transfer RNA (tRNA) molecules are approximately 80 nucleotides in length. Their secondary structure includes four short double-helical elements and three loops (D, anti-codon, and T loops). Further hydrogen bonds mediate the characteristic L-shaped molecular structure. tRNAs have two regions of fundamental functional importance: the anti-codon, which is responsible for specific mRNA codon recognition, and the 3' end, to which the tRNAs corresponding amino acid is attached (by aminoacyl-tRNA synthetases). tRNAs cope with the degeneracy of the genetic code in two manners: having more than one tRNA (with a specific anti-codon) for a particular amino acid; and 'wobble' base-pairing, i.e. permitting non-standard base-pairing at the 3rd anti-codon position. The record is from Rfam. Lineage: Bacteria; Pseudomonadati; Spirochaetota; Spirochaetia; Treponematales; Treponemataceae.